AAAAGCUCCUGAUCGGAUGUUCCAAGAGCGUCUGUAAAUAGAAAGUCGGUAGUUAGAGACUAGGGAGGGACAUAGGAGGAGGAGGAGAAGAGGCGAGGGGAUACUGAUGAUGAUGAUGAUGGUGAUGAUGAUGAUGGUGAUGGUGGUGGUGAUCAGCCUCGGUGACAGCAGCUUCUCCGUCUGCCAUCUCUGCGCUAGCAGACAGGAACUGACCGGCGGGGACACCGCGCCAGUUUUGACCCGAUUAGGACUCUGACAAGCCGGCGUUGGUGUGCCGAGGUCCUGCGAAACGGGCGCUCCUCGUUAGCGGCAACUUGUUCCAAGCCAAAAGUUUCUGCGCCUUAAAAGUGGAGUGGAUGAACCUCAGCGUUCGUCUGUGUGUCUGUUUGUUUCUGUGCUUCGGUAACAUGAUCUGAGCCCGAGGAGGGUGCAACAGCCAAGUCCCGGACUCGUGGAGAGGAGACGUGAGAGAGGACAGCCGGACAUUAUUUCAUGGGAAGAAGACAGCAACCACAUACUGGGUGGAAACCUCAGACCCUCUGAAGCUUGACGUGACGGCUGCCCAGUCGAGCAUGGAGCACGAUCUCAGAAUGGGACUGUCUCUUUGGACCAUAAUGGCUAUUGUUUGUAACUCUGUCGUGGGGCUGCUCAUCCUCAUCCUUUUUGUUGUACUCUACAAAGCCUGCAAGGUGCCUUCACAUCAAGAGAAAGUUCUGUUUUUUGCUGCAAGGCUGGACCAGAAAAACGCUGAGGAGAAGUACAUGCUGACCGCAGCCUGACUGAGAUCUUGAAAAUAUAAAGUUGAUAUGAGAACAAAUGCCAAGACAGAAUGGCAGAGGAGGACCAGCCAUCCCAAGCUUUUCAGCUUUGCUCUCUCUCUCUCCCUCGUCCUUUUGUGUUGAACCCCGUUUACAACGGUCCACCAUCAUCCCUAUCUCAUCUGUACCAUUCGGCGGAGCUCAGAGUAAACUAACUGAGUUAAGAUUUGAGGCAAGACCAACAGCAACAACAACAAGCGAGGCCCAAAUCCUCUUAUCUCUGCUGUGGGUCGCUGGGACUGUCCAUCUGUCAGUCGGUUUGGCUCACUCCACACAAACAGAUCGUCAUCUCUUCCUCCUCUGCUUCAGUCUUCCUCAUCACUCCACACAAGGCGGCUGAGAGGAUGUGGAGGUGAAACAGCAACCAUGCAAUGAAGUGGAAUAGAGGAGCUGGUACAAAAGCAAUGAUUUUUAAAAAAAAUUUUUAGAAUGAGCAACAGAAAUGUGACUCUGUUGCUCUCAAGCAGUUUGCUGUUUAUUUUAACUGCAGCGCUAAUGAUGGAAGCAACAGAGCAGCAAACACACAACAGGUAGAAAACCCGCAGCCUAAAGGAGGAGGCAGGGAGCACAGAGACGUUGCUGCAGGUCGUCUCUGAUCCACGACAGAUGGAGAUAAAGUUUGGUUCAUAUAUGGGAGGAAAGGAGAUAAAAUUCAAGGGAAGAAUUGGAAA
This is a long non-coding RNA of Fundulus heteroclitus (mummichog), 1489 nucleotides long. RefSeq lists it as uncharacterized. Lineage: Eukaryota; Metazoa; Chordata; Actinopteri; Cyprinodontiformes; Fundulidae. The record is from RefSeq and is a predicted model, not a curated record. The transcript is spliced from 2 exons.